AUACGUAGGGGGCGAGCGUUGUCCGGAAUGACUGGGCGUAAAGGGCGCGUAGGUGGCCUUUCAAGUCUGGAGUGAAAGUCCCGUUUUUAAGGUGGGAAUGGCUUUGGAAACUGAGAGGCUUGAGUGUGGGAGAGGAUAGCGGAAUUCCCGGUGUAGCGGUGAAAUGCGUAGAGAUCGGGAGGAACACCAGUGGCGAAGGCGGCUAUCUGGACCAAGACUGACACUGAAGCGCGAAAGCGUGGGUAGCAAACAGGAUUAGAUACCCUGGUAGUCCACGCGGUAAACGAUGGAUGCUAGGUGUAGGAGGUAUCGACCCCUUCUGUGCCGGAGUCAACACAAUAAGCAUCCCGCCUGGGGAGUACGGCCGCAAGGUUGAA
RNAcentral lists this ribosomal RNA (377 nucleotides) under uncultured bacterium. RNAcentral describes it as "bacterial SSU rRNA". It matches the Rfam family "Bacterial small subunit ribosomal RNA", at positions 523 to 898 of the family's 1533-position model. The record is from RNAcentral.